UUGACGGGGAGCACCACGAACGGGUGGAGCUUGCGGUUUAAUUGAUUCGAACGCCGGAAAUCUUACCGGGACCGACAGCAAUAUGAAGGCCAGGCUGAAGACUUUGCCGGAUUAGCUGAGAGGUGGUGCAUGGCCGUCGUCAGUUCGUACUGUGAAGCAUCCUGUUAAGUCAGGCAACGAGCGAGACCCACGCCCACAGUUGCCAGCGUACUCUCUGGAGUGACGGGUACACUGUGGGACCGCCGCUGCUAAAGCGGAGGAAGGAAUGGGCAACGGUAGGUCAGUAUGCCCCGAAUAUCCCGGGCUACACGCGAGCUACAAUGGUUGGUACAAUGGGUAUCUACCCCGAAAGGGGACGGGAAUCUCCUAAAACCAAUCUUAGUUCGGAUUGAGGGCUGCAACUCGCCCUCAUGAAGCUGGAAUCCGUAGUAAUCGCGUUUCAACAGAACGCGGUGAAUACGUCCCUGCUCCUU
This 473-nucleotide ribosomal RNA is filed under the name uncultured Methanosaeta sp. RNAcentral's name for it is "bacterial SSU rRNA". It matches the Rfam family "Archaeal small subunit ribosomal RNA", at positions 871 to 1337 of the family's 1478-position model. Lineage: Archaea; Methanobacteriati; Methanobacteriota; Methanomicrobia; Methanotrichales; Methanotrichaceae. The record is from RNAcentral.